Molecule: non-coding RNA, 23 nt
Filed under: Arabidopsis thaliana (thale cress)
Lineage: Eukaryota; Viridiplantae; Streptophyta; Magnoliopsida; Brassicales; Brassicaceae
Source: RNAcentral
AACCAAUUGGCAAAAAAUGUGUG